RNAcentral lists this ribosomal RNA (253 nucleotides) under uncultured bacterium. RNAcentral's name for it is "partial 16S ribosomal RNA". It matches the Rfam family "Bacterial small subunit ribosomal RNA", at positions 524 to 776 of the family's 1533-position model. The record is from RNAcentral.
UACGUAGGGGGCAAGCGUUGUCCGGAUUUACUGGGCGUAAAGAGCGUGUAGGCGGCCACGCAGGUCCGUUGUGAAAACUGGAGGCUCAACUUCCAGCCGUCGACGGAAACCGUGUGGCUAGAGUCCGGAAGAGGAGAGUGGAAUUCCUGGUGUAGCGGUGAAAUGCGCAGAUAUCAGGAAGAACACCAAUGGCGAAGGCAGCUCUCUGGGACGGUACUGACGCUGAGGAGCGAAAGCGUGGGGAGCAAACAGG